RNAcentral lists this long non-coding RNA (1713 nucleotides) under Homo sapiens (human). RNAcentral describes it as "long independently transcribed non-coding RNA 2874, transcript variant 1 (LINC02874)". The record is from RNAcentral. Lineage: Eukaryota; Metazoa; Chordata; Mammalia; Primates; Hominidae.
AGGCUGGACCCAGCCAGCCUCAAGGAGGGAAGAGAGGGACAUCAUGGUGGCGCUGGACUCCCUGCAGGUGAUCGCCGGAGGGUGGUGCACUCUGCUCCAGCACCUGCCACCUGCCUAACACGCACUUGGGGACAGCUUCCAAUAGGAUGCAAGUGGCAGACAAAGGGCUCUGCAGAGGCAGAAGAUGAACAGUAAGAUGCAAAGAUCUGGCAACCUUCAGAGCUGGCAUCUCACAGAGAAGAUACUUGGAUGGGCCACAGGCCAAAACUGGGCCAAAACCCUGGAGAGGGGGACCUGGCUCAAGGCCACACCACAUUUCCAUGUCAUUUUCCAGUGGCACCAACUGAGCUGGACAGAUGUUCUCACAGAGCUACACAUGCCACAGUCAUCACUAGUUGCGAGAGUCUCCAGUGUUCAUUAAGCCUAUUUUGCUGGAAGUUUAGUCCCUGGAGGAUUAGUCCCUGCCCUUAAGGAGUGCCAAAGAAGACUUUGGAAUCUAAGUCACAUCUCCCCUGCUGCAAUUUUUUCCUCUUGAUAAUCAAGGAAUCUCACUGAUAAAACUCUCAAUGAGGAGCAGCUCUCCCCAUGAGCAAGUUCUUGCCUUCAUUGCCAGGGAGGCCCCAGCUAAGGUUAUACUGGGAAAGGAAUCUCUGGGGAGUACCUGGAAGAGGUCAGCUUCUCCUCAAAGGAAGCCUCUCCAGCUGGUGUACUGCAAAGCCUUCCAAGACCAAGUUCCCUCUUCCUGGCCUCUGGAACCAGCCUGUGUGCCAGCGCUGUGUCCCCAGUAACACACAUGAGUCUCUCCCUCAGAAGCCACAGAAGGAUGCAGAGAGAGACCAACCCAGGAUUGAUUCUCAGCACUUACUAAUUGUGUGGACAUAACUGCUCUGGACCUCAGCUUUGCUAUCUAUAAAAUGAGCACCCUUUUUAUAGAUAUGAACACUUUAAGAGAGUCAUAAAGAUUGAAGUUGAUUUGUGCUGCGCCUGGCACAGAGGUCUCCCUCAGUAAAUGGCAGCCACUGCUAUUGGGGUGCCCCAACACCCCUUGCCCCUGCCCACCAUUAGCUUUCACUUAGGCCCACACUGAGGGUGUGGCUGUUGUGUUGGGGGAAGGAAAAAAACCAUGCCUGGGUUGCAGGGCCCCCACCACCAACUGGUCUGCUUUUGUGGGAAGCAUUUUCUGAUGCCCUCGCCCUACCCGUGGGCUGGUUGACUAAGUGUCCAGCAUCAUGAGGAAAAGAGCAGGGUUCAGGGACAGCUUGGCUCAGCCCUGAAACUCAUCUGGGCCUAGGUCCAGAUGAGAGGCAAGCCUGGGAGGCCUUCCGUUGUACCCUUGCCUAUCCUGCAGCACCCUCUAGCCUGCAGGCCGCUCCUGGGUGGCAUAGCACCUUGGAUGUCAGGUGUGGGCCUUCCCAGGCACAUGGCAUGAGGGGGCACUUCUGUGGGUUGUUGGGGGCAGGAAGGGAUGUGUCUCCAGCUGGACUUGGGCUCUCGCAUUUUGGGGCCCAGCCAUGCCAGGACAGCACACAUGGGCGCUUAGUGCGAAUCUCAUGAUGGAGCAGAGGAGGAGCAAAGCAAAACCAGGGAGUCCCCAGGCCCCUGCUUCUGCCCCGCCCAGAGACAGUGGAGCAGGUGUCUCCAGCUUCUUAACCUCAACGCACAGUAAGAAAUACAUUUUACAGCAACCAAUAGACACAUACAUUUACAAAACGA